CACCUCUCUCAGCUUCCUCUCUCCACCCUUCCUGACUCCAUGCACAAUCCCUUCGUUUUUCUUUUCCUUUUUUUUUUUUUCACAGAAAUGAAAUUCAGCGUAAAGUUUCUAUUGAAGCAGAAUUGGAAAAAAAGACAUCUGCUCCCUUAUACUCUGACUGGAAUUCACCUUGUCUCUCGAGACAUGCUAAGUUUUUACCUUAAGAGCUGAUUUGAGGAAUCAAGGAGUCUGUGCAUGCGGCUGAAGGAAAGAAAGAGCUGGGAAUCAGGUUCGGUUUAGAAGACACUCGAUCCAGGUCCUGCACGUUGAUUGUGGAUCAUCAGGCUUGAUUACAAGUGCUUUUACCCACUGAUAUAUCUUGCUAGAGGAACUUCUUCAUUUCAUGGGCUGAAGCAGAGAGCAAGACAGAAAGAAGCCCUACAGGCUACCCU
Long non-coding RNA from Arvicanthis niloticus (Nile rat), 431 nucleotides. RefSeq lists it as uncharacterized. The record is from RefSeq and is a predicted model, not a curated record. Lineage: Eukaryota; Metazoa; Chordata; Mammalia; Rodentia; Muridae.